This 327-nucleotide long non-coding RNA is filed under the name Elaeis guineensis (African oil palm). RNAcentral's name for it is "long non-coding RNA (EGUI_LNC011174)". Lineage: Eukaryota; Viridiplantae; Streptophyta; Magnoliopsida; Arecales; Arecaceae. The record is from RNAcentral.
CCUUUGGGGGCAUGUCUCUAAUCACACAUUUGUUGGGCACUUGGAAGGUCUUGAAUACUUGUAUAAGACAAAGAAAUCCCAAUAAUAACUUCUAACUAACCUUUUUGGAUAAAGUCCUAGAUCUUUACAAAUGGUGUAAGAGUCGACCCAGCAUAUGGACUAGAGGACACCAUAGCAUGGGCCCUUUUGGUGCUGACAUGAGCCAAUUUUAGUGUUUGUGAUUAGAUUGAUUGGAUUUGGGUCUUCAGCCUGGCAACUUAAACAAGAGCGCGGGCAUUUGCUCACAUGGGUUGUGCACUGGGAGAUCUUGAAUACUUGUAUAGGGCC